Molecule: ribosomal RNA, 402 nt
Filed under: bacterium
Lineage: Bacteria
Description: partial 16S ribosomal RNA
Rfam family: Bacterial small subunit ribosomal RNA
Source: RNAcentral
UGGGGAAUUUUGCACAAUGGGGGAAACCCUGAUGCAGCGACGCCGCGUGAUUUAGAAGGCCUUCGGGUUGUAAAAAUCUUUUCUAUGGGAAGAAAAUGACAGUACCAUAGGAAUAAGGACCGGCUAAUUACGUGCCAGCAGCCGCGGUAAUACGUAAGGUCCGAGCGUUGUCCGGAAUCAUUGGGCGUAAAGGGUACGUAGGCGGGUAAGCAAGUUAGAAGUGAAAUCCUAUAGCUCAACUAUAGUAAGCUUUUAAAACUGCUCAUCUUGAGGUAUGGAAGGGAAAGUGGAAUUCCUGGUGUAGCGGUGAAAUGCGCAGAUAUUAGGAGGAAUACCGGUGGAGAAGGCGACUUUCUGGCCAUAACCUGACGCUGAGGUACGAAAGCGUGGGUAGCAAACAGG